GCACCCGUAGCUCAGCUGGAUAGAGCGACGGUCUCCGAAGCCGUAGGUCAGCAGUUCGAAUCUGCUCGGGUGUA
This 74-nucleotide transfer RNA is filed under the name Lentisphaera profundi. Its description in RNAcentral is "tRNA-Arg". It matches the Rfam family "tRNA". From Rfam's summary of the family: Transfer RNA (tRNA) molecules are approximately 80 nucleotides in length. Their secondary structure includes four short double-helical elements and three loops (D, anti-codon, and T loops). Lineage: Bacteria; Pseudomonadati; Lentisphaerota; Lentisphaeria; Lentisphaerales; Lentisphaeraceae. The record is from RNAcentral.